Molecule: long non-coding RNA, 242 nt
Filed under: Nicotiana benthamiana
Lineage: Eukaryota; Viridiplantae; Streptophyta; Magnoliopsida; Solanales; Solanaceae
Description: long non-coding RNA (NBEN_LNC001114)
Source: RNAcentral
AUUACCAGCCAUCUUACAUCACUGAGUAUAUUAUGUAGUAGUUCUUAUUCAUUUUGUUUAAUGUUGUUUCUUUUUCAAAAGAAAGUUUGAUUAUAACUCUAAUGGAGUUUGUAAGAAAUUACACUUGCAUGAAGUGGUAAAAUUUCUAUGCCUUGCCGUGAUCAAAUUUAUGUAUGAUGGUGGGCAAAGAAUUAAAAAUCCGUCCAAUUGAAUUUGCUCCAUUCCCUUUAGAGAAUGUGGUA